GUGGGAGCAGAAAAAAGCGCGCAAUGCAGCAACGAACGCAACACACAAAUAAUACGCAAUACAUCAACCAAGCCGUGUAGCUUGUUACGAUUACGAGGGAGAAAUUUUAUCUUAUUAACUUCGAAGGAAGAUAUCUAAAAUUCAGAAAAGGGAAGAAGGAAGGACGGAAGGAAGAUAAAAUUCGGGGAAGAUCGUCUCACAAUUAAUUCAAUUCGGAAUAUGCAGAGGUACGAUAGUAAAAUGCAAGAGAGAGAGA
Molecule: long non-coding RNA, 256 nt
Filed under: Polistes fuscatus (common paper wasp)
Lineage: Eukaryota; Metazoa; Arthropoda; Insecta; Hymenoptera; Vespidae
Description: uncharacterized LOC122514152
Source: RNAcentral